AACCCAUGGUGAGGGCACUUUCUCAAUAAGUAUUUGUAUCUCUUCCAUGCGUCACAAAGAGUUUCUAAAUGCAUCUACACAAAAGAAGAGAUAUCAUUCCUUAGUUU
Non-coding RNA from Gossypium hirsutum (cotton), 107 nucleotides. The record is from Rfam. Lineage: Eukaryota; Viridiplantae; Streptophyta; Magnoliopsida; Malvales; Malvaceae.